GUGGGGAAUGAGGACUAUGAACGGCAGAGGAGUGUGAUGGAUUUUCUUAAGAGUACUGAUGCUUGGAAGAAGUCUGGUGGGAGAGACCAUGUUUUUGUUCUCACUGGUAAUGUUAAAACUUGAAGCAUUCUUUGACAGACCCAGUUGCGAUGUGGCAUGUCAAAGCAGAGAUAGCUCCGGCUGUUCUGCUUGUGGUCGAUUUUGGCGGUUGGUUCAGGCUUGACGCAAAAUCAUCUAACAGUUCCUCGCCAGAUAUGAUUCAGC
This 264-nucleotide unclassified non-coding RNA is filed under the name Hevea brasiliensis (rubber tree). The record is from RNAcentral. Lineage: Eukaryota; Viridiplantae; Streptophyta; Magnoliopsida; Malpighiales; Euphorbiaceae.